GCCCAGCGCGGAGCCUGAGGAUGUUGUCCCAGCUACUCUGGAGGCUGAGACGGGAGGAUCGCUUGAGCUCAGGAGUUCUGGUCUGUCGUGAGCUAUGCUGAUGUGGUGUCCACACUAAGUUCGGCAUCAAUAUGGUGACCUCCCGGAGACGGGGGCCAGCAGGUUCCCUAAGGAGAGGUGAACAAGUCCAGGUCUGAAACCAAACAGGUCAUAACUCCAGUGCUGAUCAAUAGCGGAAUCGUGCCUGGGAAUAGCCACUGCACUCCAGCCUGGGCAACAUAGCGAGACUCAUGCCUGU
Cercocebus atys (sooty mangabey) is the source of this 298-nucleotide unclassified non-coding RNA. It matches the Rfam family "Metazoan signal recognition particle RNA". From Rfam's summary of the family: The signal recognition particle (SRP) is a universally conserved ribonucleoprotein. It is involved in the co-translational targeting of proteins to membranes. The record is from Ensembl. Lineage: Eukaryota; Metazoa; Chordata; Mammalia; Primates; Cercopithecidae.